GAAAAAUCUGGGCAUAACAUGGGUUCUACGUUUAAGAGACAAGUCACUCUGCUUGAGGACAUCUGCGACACGGGGGCUGAAGGAACUGGGAUCCUCAGACAGAGGAGACUGGGGAUGUUUUGGCUGAUGUAGAAUGUGCAGGGUGAGAGAACUUGUGAUCUUUGAGGCUGAGGAAAUUGGAGGUUUCUUAUUAAGGGGCUUUAGGUCUCUGACAGGCAGGACAGUGGGAGUCUUGAGGACAAAGAGUUUUAAGGGCUCCCAGGCUGAGGUAUUCAGGGUCUGCGAGGUUAAGGAAAUUUGGUCUCUCUGUGGGUGCUAUUUUGAGGGUGCCUCAGCCUGAGGGGUGGAGAAGGCAAUGGCACCCCACUCCAGUACUCUUGCCUGGAAAAUCCCAUGGACAGAGGAGCCUGGUGGGCUGCAGUCCAUGGGGUCGCUAAGAGUCAGACACAACUGAGCGACUUCACUUUGACUUUUCACUUUCAUGCAUUGGAAGAGGAAAUGGCAACCCACUACAGUGUUCUUGCCUAGAGAGUCCUAGGGACGGGGGAGCCUGGUGGGCUGCCGUCUCUGGGGUCACACACAGUCGGACACGACUGAGGUGACGCGGCAGCAGCCUGAGGGGAACUGGGAUUACUCUAGGUAUUUGAGGGUCACAGCACCAGGGGAUUUGGGGUUUCUGGGGGUAAAGGGACUUGUAGUCCCUGAAGCUGACGAGAUGUGAGCUCCCUUCAAGUUAGGACCCAGGUUCUUCAAAGCUGACGGGAUUUGGGGCCUCUCACCCUGGAAUUUGAAGCCGUCAGGGUAAGGGUUUGUGAGGGUUGUGCAGGGUAUGUUCCGGUAAGUCUCCCAGCUGUUCUGCGGCGCUGCCAACACCAGUCCUAGGCUCGUUCAGAGCUCGAUGGCAUGGAGUCCUCCCUCGUUGAGGCGAAGUGAAGGGCGAGCAGCCGGUCUGUACCAUGUCAGGCACAAGCGACCAAUCGGCGUUGUGAUGGAGGCAGCCCUGCCAAUAGGCGCUGGAAGGGUGUGGAGAGAGGAGGAGGCCCCACCCAACCGCUCAGGGAUUGGCUGCUCAGGGGGCAUUUCUGUCAAGAAGCCGCCAGUGCGCAGGCGCAUUUUGGCCAUUUUCUUUGCUUGUUUUCAGGCAUUGCCUCUUAGGCCUGUAUCCUCAAGUGGGCGGGAUGUCCUCAGGCGGGAUGUUUCCUUCCAGUGCCCUCAACUAGAAUCACAGCUCCACCAGAUGGCAGUCGUGCUCCCGGACUUUCUCCUAGGCCCACCUGUGCCCUACCUUGUCAAAUCCAGUUUUGAAAAGAUCUCCUAUGGGGUGGCCUGGGUAACCGUGAGGGUAAAUAAGCAAUUCAACCAAAGCUGACCAAGGAAUCUUCUCAGAAACACCCACCUAAAGAAACUGAAGAAAAUCAAAGGCUCAAAAAUCUGUAGCCAGUGUUCCAAGGUGAAUGAAGAGCUGAAUCAGAAUAACUGGAGGAGAUCCCAGGGAUCGUGAGGACCCCUGCCAGGGGGACAGCUAGACCAGUGGGCAGCCAGUGACUUCAGAGCAUGGCUAGAGACCUCAGAAAUCUUCAAGGGUCUUGCCGCUGAGAAAUGGCCAACAGUACAGACGUUGAAUCUUAUACCAACAGCACACAUUAAUAAUGAACUUUAAAUAAAAUCAACCUAAUGUGGAAUUAUCUGUCUCUG
RNAcentral lists this long non-coding RNA (1695 nucleotides) under Bos indicus x Bos taurus (hybrid cattle). Its description in RNAcentral is "lncRNA (ENSBIXG00000029293.1)". Lineage: Eukaryota; Metazoa; Chordata; Mammalia; Artiodactyla; Bovidae. The record is from RNAcentral.